RNAcentral lists this ribosomal RNA (253 nucleotides) under uncultured bacterium. Its description in RNAcentral is "partial 16S ribosomal RNA". It matches the Rfam family "Bacterial small subunit ribosomal RNA", at positions 524 to 776 of the family's 1533-position model. The record is from RNAcentral.
UACGUAGGGGGCAAGCGUUGUCCGGAAUCAUUGGGCGUAAAGAGCGUGUAGGCGGCCCGGUAAGUCCGCUGUGAAAGUCCAGGGCUCAACCCUGGAAGUGCACUCGAAACUGCCGAGCUGGAGUCCCGGAGAGGAAGGCGGAAUUCUCGGUGUAGAGGUGAAAUUCGUAGAUAUCGAGAGGAACACCUGUGGCGAAGGCGGCCUUCUGGACGGUGACUGACGCUGAGACGCGAAAGCGUGGGGAGCAAACAGG